This 160-nucleotide small nuclear RNA is filed under the name Balaenoptera musculus (blue whale). RNAcentral's name for it is "U2 spliceosomal RNA (ENSBMSG00010004819.1)". The stretch from base 1 to 110 matches the Rfam family "U2 spliceosomal RNA". From Rfam's summary of the family: U2 is a small nuclear RNA (snRNA) component of the spliceosome (involved in pre-mRNA splicing). Lineage: Eukaryota; Metazoa; Chordata; Mammalia; Artiodactyla; Balaenopteridae. The record is from RNAcentral.
AUCACCUCUUGGGAUUUUGGCUAAGAUCAAGUGUAGUAUCUGUUCUUAUUAGUUCUCUAAGUUUUGAAAAAUGAAUAAAUAAAUGAAUACUGGCAGAAUCAAGAACUAUUAUUUUAGAAGUAUGCUUUGCUAAUCAUCUUUAUCCUUCUGGCAACCCCUU